This 105-nucleotide microRNA precursor is filed under the name Canis lupus familiaris (dog). Its description in RNAcentral is "mir-8834 microRNA precursor family". It matches the Rfam family "mir-8834 microRNA precursor family". The record is from Rfam by way of RNAcentral. RNAcentral also lists the same sequence under 1 other name. Lineage: Eukaryota; Metazoa; Chordata; Mammalia; Carnivora; Canidae.
AGGAGGAACAACCGCAGUGGCGGGGCCAGCUCUGGAGCCCUGGAGUCAGCCCCCGCAGUAGCUCCAGAGCUCUCCGUCUGCAGGGCCUGGAGGCUCCGGGCGGGG